UAGGGAAUAUUGCAAAAUGGGCGAAAGCCUGAUGCAGCAACGCCGCGUGGGCGAUGAAGGCCUUCGGGUCGUAAAGCCCUUUUUGAGGGGAUGAGGAAGGACAGUACCCUCAGAAUAAGCCUCGGCUAACUACGUGCCAGCAGCCGCGGUAAAACGUAGGAGGCGAGCGUUAUCCGGAUUUACUGGGCGUAAAGCGCGUGCAGGCGGAUUGGAGAGUUGGAUGUGAAAGCUCCCGGCUUAACUGGGAGAGGUCGUUCAAUACUUCCAGUCUUGAGUGCAGUAGAGGGAAGUGGAAUUCCGGGUGUAGUGGUGAAAUGCGUAGAUAACCGGAGGAACACCAGUGGCGAAAGCGGCUUCCUGGACUGUAACUGACGCUCAGACGCGAAAGCUAGGGUAGCAAACG
This 403-nucleotide ribosomal RNA is filed under the name uncultured bacterium. RNAcentral's name for it is "bacterial SSU rRNA". It matches the Rfam family "Bacterial small subunit ribosomal RNA", at positions 355 to 774 of the family's 1533-position model. The record is from RNAcentral.